GCCCAGGCCGGCCCCAAACACUGUCUUGUGACUGCACAGUGUUGGAAACGUCUCACAGAGCUCACUCUGUGGUUUUGCUUUGCUCAUAGGUCUUUUUCUUAGGCCUGUGAGAAGGUGCUACAAGACAGCA
This 130-nucleotide small nucleolar RNA is filed under the name Chinchilla lanigera (long-tailed chinchilla). The record is from RNAcentral. Lineage: Eukaryota; Metazoa; Chordata; Mammalia; Rodentia; Chinchillidae.